Molecule: small RNA, 28 nt
Filed under: Bombyx mori (domestic silkworm)
Lineage: Eukaryota; Metazoa; Arthropoda; Insecta; Lepidoptera; Bombycidae
Description: piRNA piR-bmo-1832087
Source: RNAcentral
UGACGCCCUCUGUCGUAUGGUCAAUGGC